UGAAACAUGCACUGGAAUUAU
RNAcentral lists this non-coding RNA (21 nucleotides) under Caenorhabditis elegans. Lineage: Eukaryota; Metazoa; Nematoda; Chromadorea; Rhabditida; Rhabditidae. The record is from RNAcentral.